This 450-nucleotide ribosomal RNA is filed under the name uncultured bacterium. Its description in RNAcentral is "bacterial SSU rRNA". It matches the Rfam family "Bacterial small subunit ribosomal RNA", at positions 360 to 793 of the family's 1533-position model. The record is from RNAcentral.
AAUAUUGCACAAUGGGGGAAACCCUGAUGCAGCCAUGCCGCGUGUGUGAAGAAGGCCUUCGGGUUGUAAAGCACUUUCAGUAGGGAGGAAGGUAGUGUAGUUAACACCUGCAUUAUUUGACGUUACCUACAGAAGAAGCACCGGCUAACUCCGUGCCAGCAGCCGCGGUAAUACGGAGGGUGCGAGCGUUAAUCGGAAUUACUGGGCGUAAAGCGCAUGCAGGCGGCCUGUUAAGUCAGAUGUGAAAGCCCGGGGACGUUAACCUACGGUAAAUUGCUAUUUAGUAAACUAGGCAGGCUAGAGUCUUGUAGAGGGGGUAGGAAUUUCAGGUGUAGCGGUGAAAUGCGUAGAGAUCUGAAGGAAUACCAGUGGCGAAGGCGGCCCCCUGGACAAAGACUGACGCUCAGAUGCGAAAGCGUGGGGAGCAAACAGGAUUAGAUACCCUGGUAG